GUAGUCAUAUGCUUGUCUCAAAGAUUAAGCCAUGCAUGUCUAAGUAUAAGCAACUUUGUACUGUGAAACUGCGAAUGGCUCAUUAAAUCAGUUAUAGUUUAUUUGAUGGUUUUUGCUACAUGGAUAACUGUGGUAAUUCUAGAGCUAAUACAUGCAUUCAAGCCCCGACUUCUGGAAGGGGUGUAUUUAUUAGAUAAAAAUCAACUUUGUUGGUGAAUCAUAAUAACUUCUCGGACCGCAUGGCCUCGUGCAGGCGGUGCCUCAUUCAAAUAUCUGCCCUAUCAACUGUCGAUGGUAGGAUAGAGGCCUACCAUGGUUGCAACGGGUAACGGGGAAUA
This 338-nucleotide ribosomal RNA is filed under the name uncultured fungus. RNAcentral describes it as "SSU rRNA". It matches the Rfam family "Eukaryotic small subunit ribosomal RNA", at positions 20 to 371 of the family's 1831-position model. Lineage: Eukaryota; Fungi. The record is from RNAcentral.